UUUUAUCUUCAGGUGAAGAGGCCUGUAUAAAAUUANNNNNNNAGAAGACCCUAUCGAGCUUUAAAGAAAUUGAUAGGUCAUUAAAUUAAUAAAGUUAAAAAAUUUUCUAUUAAAAAUUUUAGUUGGGGCGACCGAGGAACAAGAAAAGCUUCCUUUAGAAUUUAAAUAUCUACAAAUAUAGAUCCAAAAUUUUUUGACUAAAGAAAUUAGUUACCGUAGGGAUAACAGCAUUAUCUUUUUUGAGAGCUCCUAUCGAAAAAAAGGUUUGUGACCUCGAUGUUGGACCAGAAUAUCCUAAAGAUGCAGCAGUCUUUAAAGGUUGGUCUGUUCGACCAUUAAAAUUCUACG
Molecule: ribosomal RNA, 348 nt
Filed under: Fusolatirus sp. MNHN IM 2007-32508
Lineage: Eukaryota; Metazoa; Mollusca; Gastropoda; Neogastropoda; Fasciolariidae
Description: partial 16S ribosomal RNA
Rfam family: Bacterial large subunit ribosomal RNA
Source: RNAcentral